AGAUUGAACGCUGGCGGCAGGCCUAACACAUGCAAGUCGAGCGGUAGAGAGGUGCUUGCAUCUCUUGAGAGCGGCGGACGGGUGAGUAAUGCCUAGGAAUCUGCCUAGUGGUGGGGGAUAACGUUCGGAAACGGACGCUAAUACCGCAUACGUCCUA
Molecule: ribosomal RNA, 157 nt
Filed under: uncultured soil bacterium
Lineage: Bacteria
Description: partial 16S ribosomal RNA
Rfam family: Bacterial small subunit ribosomal RNA
Source: RNAcentral